This 7389-nucleotide long non-coding RNA is filed under the name Canis lupus familiaris (dog). RNAcentral's name for it is "lncRNA (ENSCAFG00845014939.1)". The record is from RNAcentral. Lineage: Eukaryota; Metazoa; Chordata; Mammalia; Carnivora; Canidae.
UUUUUUUUUUUUUUUUUUUUUUGAGCCAUUAAACUUUUGCCCCUUGGCAAGGGCAGUGCCUGCAUAGAUAGCAAGGCUCCUUUGUGAUAUGCCCACAGGAAAACAAAAAAGUCUGGAUGUACACUGCUUUGCAGUGAUCUAAAAAGCCACGAGUUCCAUUCCUCCAUUAAUAAUUCCACAGUAUUUAAUUGCUUUUAAAAUAAUUCUACAAACAUACAAUUUGAUGACAGGCUAAAAUUGAAGCUUUUUAAAAAGAGGAUAGUAUACUGUUUAGAUAUGAAGAUUAAUAAUUCAUUAAAAUGUAUUCAUUAGAAUAAUAAAAAAUUCCUCAUGUAUAAAAUCUUUUGAUUUUUCUCUAUGGUAUAAAUAUAUUCAUUGAUUGCUAUUUAAAUAGAUAUUUAAAUCUUUAGGAUGUUAAAAAUAUUCAAUAAUAUAGCCAAUGAAUUUUAAAAAAUAACUGCUAAUGUAGGUAUAUGUAUAUAUAUGUAUGGCUAUGUGUCCGUGCAUAUAUUUAUAUUUCCUAGUAAGCCGGUGUAACUUAAUACCUUUUCCAUUUUCUAAGUGUAUCACUAAGGAGCAUAGGACAAUAAAUUUGAUAUUGUACAACUAAACUAAAAACCUGACAAAUUAUAUAUAAAGUUUAAUACUAUAAAUUCAAUAUUGUUUAUAAUCAAUGAAUUUCAAAAUCUCUUUAUAAUAAGUUCAGUACAGACAAAACUAUAAUUUGAGGAAUGCUUGUUUGGUACAUAAGUAGAGUUGAAUAUAAACACUGAAAAAGAUGAGACCUUUUGUUACACAUAGAAGUAUUAAGCUUCAGCAUGAAGAAGAUAAUAUUAUAGCUCAAGAUUUUAAGAUAGUUACUACAUAUUAAUUUUGCAUUAAUCCAAUAAUUUCCAAAGAAUUAAAAUAAUUGUAAUUUAUAAUGUCAUCAUAUAAAUAAGUUGCCAAAUGGGAAUUUUAUCUCAAUUUCAAAGAGAGGACUUGAUUUAUUUUAUUUAUAUGAAAGAAAUAUAUUCAGUCUAGCUAACUAAAAAGAGAUGAAAAAUAUUUUAAGAAAUCAAAAUCAAAUCAAAGCUCAAUUGUGUUUCUGAAUCCUACAAUAAAUAGUAAAGUGUAAAUGUAACAGAAACAACAAAUCUGGUCAUAUUCAACUCAUACUAUCUGUUUUAUCUGUUUUGCAUAGUAAAUUUGUUUUGAUAAUAUUCAGAUGGUCUAUAAAUGAGAAGUAAAUCUGUGAAAUAUAUUAAGCUAUCAACAAGUACUAUGACAUCUGACUCAUAUAAAGCAUAUAUCAAGGAACACUGGAUACUCCUUAGUACACUCAAAGCAACUUGCUUAAGGUCAUAUGCAGCCAUUUUGUUAAAGAAUCACUCUGCAUGAGCAAGUUGGCCAUGUGUUUGCUAUGUCACUUGAUGUUUACAGCAUCAUUACAUCAAGUUUGACACAAAUUUUAUGACUCAGUUUGUCAAAGUUCUUUAACUCCAUCACUCAAACGAUCACUUUCUGAGAGUAAAAGAGAGUUGGCAAGUAGAGGACAUAUAUUUCCUAAGACUGAGUUUGUGAAAUUAUGUUUAAAAGUAGAAUUAAACUUUCAUAUUCUGACUGUACAUAUAACUUGUGCAAAUUGCUGUGUGGUGAAAUAAACAUUUCUUUAUAAAAUUUUGAUGUAUUUGGUCAUAUUAUGCUAAGUACCAGAAUGUUAUAGAGUGUUAUUAGAAGGCAUUUAAAGUAGAAUAUUUCAAAGCAAUCAUGUCUCUUGUGAUCUUAAAAUAUUUUAAUGGUAAACUGGUACUACUGAUAAAGCUUUAAAGUGAAAAAGUAUUUUUUGUAAUUAUUCAAAUCAUGAAAUGUAUUAUUUUGCUAAUGACUUUAAGAGCUUUCUUAACUAUCUUUAGAUUUACAAGUGGUCUUUGUGAUAUUUAGAUAAAUAAGGUUUUAAAAAUAAUUAGAGCCAAGAAAUGUGGUAUAUACAGUAUUUCCACACUUACUGUAUCAUUAUCACAUAUUUAUCCAGUAGUCAUGAGCACAUGAAACUAUGUUAGACACUAUGGAGUUACUGUCAUCUACUUCAGAAAAUCUAUGCUCUAGAGCAUCUUCUGAACUAAUAAAAGAUUUUUUUUAAAUGCUAUAGUCAAAUUGUCUAUAUAGAGAGCAACAUAAAUUAGAUUAAGAAAUGGAAUUUUAAAUUAGAAUGAAAGAAUUUACAAUCAAAAAAGAAGACAGGGCAGUUUUCCAUACAGAAAUAGAAAAACUAUUUUAUAUUAUAAAAUAGAAACUCUCAAAAUACACAUAAAUAAGGACAGAGAAAGCACAAAUCACAUAAUUGGAACUAACUGGGAGUAGUUGGGAAAGUUUUCUGAAUGAAUAUUAUUUGGAAAAGCAAAUGACUGGCAAACAAACUGAGAGGAAUUUCAGACAGUAAGAAUGAUAACUGUAAAGAAUGAAGGAUGUCUAGACAAAUUUAAAAUGUAGCCCUCAGUUGCAUUAGACUCAGUGACAAAACAAGCUUGUGCAGAAGGCAAAAGGCAAAAGGCAGAGAACUAUCCACAGAAAAGCUAGUUUCUAAUAUACUAAUGAAAAAUUGGAAGAGUUAUUUGUGUUACUUAAGGGCAGUGAAGUAGAAGUGAGUGUGUGAGAAUGAGUGUGUAUGUGUGUACACUGUAUAAGAACUAUACAGAGGGACGCCUGGGGGCUCAGUGGUUGAGCAUCUGCCUUUGGUUCAGGGCAUGAUCCCGGGAUCCUGGGAUCAAGUCCCGAGUUGGGCUCCCCAUAGGGAGAAUUUCUUUCUCCAUACUAUAAAUACAAUAGGGUCUUUUGUGUCUAGGUUAAAUACAUAUAUGUCAAAAACAUCCAUAUAUUUUUUAAGAACUUUAAUGAAAAACAUCAUUUCUAUCUAAACCCUUGAAGAGCAUUUCAAAGUUUGACAUGCAUCUGUCAAGACAUUUUUAUAUCCAUUUAUACCCACUACACAUAACACACACAUACAAUUUCUAUUUGGAACAAAAAUGGAUUUAUACUACUUACGUUACUUGUUUUUUCACUUUGCUCCAUAUCAUGGACAGUUUUCAACCUCAGAUUUACCUUGUUUUUUGUUAUUGUUGUUUGUUUUUGUUUUUACUGGCUGAACAGAAUUCAGUGUAUGCAUGUACAAUGGUUUACUUAUUUUUCUUUCGAGAAAUUCUUAGAUUUUUUCAUUACCUAUCACAAAUAUUGAUUCUGUGAUUAUCUUUAUGUAUUUAUAUUUGAAAGUUUGUGUGAGCAUGACUGUUGAAUAAAUUUAAAAGUGGAAAAGCUAGAAAUUUAUAUUUGAAAGAAAGAUUUAAAGUGGUGGUAAACUUUCACUCAUGGGUAGUACUGAACGUAAGUAUAGAUUUUGGUUGAAGGAAAACAUUUAGGAACAGAAAGAAGACCUGAGAAUUAUGAACAUAAUUAUACCUGAAUAAAAGCACUAUAGAGAAAGGUGGCAGGCAGAAAUUCAAAAGUAAGAAGUUAAAGAUAAAUCUUGUUAUGCCAUGUAUCUUAAGUUUUGUAGAAGUAGUAUAAAUGAAAAACAUAAUAAGUUUGUGAUUUGAAAAAGAUAAGUGACCAGGAAGCAAAUUCUAAAGAGAGCCAAAAUUGACAACUGGAUAAUGGCCUUCAAUUAUUAAAAGUUAAGAGUCUUUAUUCUUAGAAAGAAGUGCCUGUUGGUAGGGAGGUGAUACUGAAAUCAGCCAUAAGAUCACUGUCACAUUAAGGAAUAAUUUUAUAAAGACUCAUGAUGAAAAUAUAAAUCAGGAAUGGCCAGGCAGAGAUAGAGAAGUAGAAGUAGAAACAUGUUUCAAAAAAGUAUGGCAGUGGAGGAAAGUAGAUUUGACACAGCAUCUAUCUUCAUAAAGGACACUUGUUGAAAUAAAUUAAAGGAGAGUAAGCACAAAAUAAUUGUUAAUUCUCAUGACAUGAAUUAGUUGGGCUUGAAAUGAUUUGCUCUCAUGUGGUAGAUCGGAGUCAUAGAAUGGAAUAUUAAAUUAGAAUGGACAAAAAGGGAUUUGGAGAUAUUUUAUUAUAGGUCAUAAAGCCAAAGCAUUUUCUUUUUUAAAAAAGAUUUUAUUUAUUUAUUCAUGAGAGACACAGAGAGAGGCAGAGGGCGAAGCAGGCUCUAUGCAGGGAGCCCGAUCUGGGACUGCGGGAUCACACUCUGAGCUGAAGGCAGAUGCUCAACCCCUGAGCCACCCAUGUCCCUUCAAAGCAUUUUCUAAUUCAAAUAUUUGUAACAUGAGAAGAAAAGUGAGGCAGUGGGAGCUGUUAAAUUUUACCAGACUGCUCUAAACAUACAGUUGUAGAAGACUAUAAACUUUAACAUUUGACUACAUUUUUAAAAAUGUGAAAAAACUGUUGGUCAAUACUGAAUAAAUUUAAUGGUAUGUAUUGGCAGUUUUGACAGAAGAUAAAAGAAAAAAUAAACAUGCUUACUGAUCAUGCCACAUCCCAAAGAUUAAAGUAAGUUUUCAUGAGUAUUUUUGUUUUAUACAUGUUACAUGCAUCGUCACCCAUUCUCAUAAACAAUUGACAGAUUCUGAAAAAAAUCAAAAAGCAUGAAUAGAAUUUUAUACUAAUGUGACAAGUUGUAAACUUAUUGUGUUGAAAUUGAAUACAGGUUUUCUAAAUUAAAGUAUUAAAAGGACUGUAUGCAUGGCCAACACCCUAACAAUAUAUAAUACUGAUAAAUGAAAGCAGGGGAAAAAUUGAAUAUAGCUGAUGAACUGAUACUACAAACAGUUUAAAGAUGGUAAAAAGUACCAGAAAACAGACUCUUAACUAUAGUGGAUGAACUGAGGCUUACUGGAAGGGAAGGAGAUGGGGGGGAAGAAAGGGGGAUGGAUUGAAUAGGUGAUGGAGAUUAAGGAAUGCACUUCUGAUGAGCACUGGGAGUUGCAGGUAAGUGAUGAAUUACUAAAUUCUACUCCUGAAACUAAUAUUACACUGUAUGUAAACUAGCCAGAAGUUAAACAAAAACUUGAAAGAGAAAAAACAGUAAUAGCUAAAUAUUAAAAAAAGGUAAUUUACAUUUAGCAAAUAUUUUUAGUAUUAUAUAUAUGAGACUAUACAUAUUAUGAUAAUUAUCAUUAUGUACAUUAUAAUUAUGAAUAUGUAAUUAUACAUAAUUAUUAAAAAUAAAAUGAAAUAAAUAAUGUAAACUAUUUUCUGCUUUCUACAUAGGUUGAACCCCAUAUUUAAUAUAUGAAGUUUUUAUAAUAUUUUAUAUUUUUCAAAUAUUAAAAGGUAAUAUGUGCUCAUUUUGAAAGUUGAAAUAAUAUAUAAAAUGUGAAAUAAAUUACAUAACAUCCCAAUACAAAAAGGCAAACAGCUAAUGUGCUGAUUUUUUUUCCAGAAUUUUUGAUGCAAAUUUUAACAUAUCAUUAUAGGUUGAUAUAUAAAUUUUGUUACCUAAAAUUUUCUUUGAUCAGGAUGUAGGCAGUGUUUUCUAAUAAUAUUAUUUUUAAAAUAUGAUUUUAAUGGAUGCGUGCAAACUUCAUAUUUUUGAUACAUGAUCUAUUUUGGACGCCUAAAUAAUUUCCUUUUUAAAAAUAAUAUUACAGUAAGCCUAAGUUCUAAAUUCUAUGUGUGCAUAUUCUUUAGAGUAGAAGUGGAAUCCCAUGGUCAAAUAUACGAACUAAUGAAGAUCUCUAGCUAUCCUGGCACAGACCUACACUGUCCUAAAAUCAUUAUUUCAAUGCCUACUCAUUAGAAAUGUGUAAGUGUAUUAGUUCUGCCCAGAAAUAAAACUAGAAUCAUUUAGAAAACAUGCAUUAGUUUAAAAAGGAAAAGUACUUAUCUCAAUAGGGAUUAAUUUAUAUUCAAUUAUAGUGAAUUUGAGCAUUUUUAUUAUGCACACUAGCUGCUUUUAUGUUUUUUAAGUUUGUUUGAACUACCUGUAUUUGUCUUUUGUCUGAUUUUUGAUUGGGAAAGUAGUGUUUUAAAAUGGUUUAUUAGAAAUGCCUGGGUGGCUCAGCGGUUGAGCUCAGGGCGCGUCCCCGGGGUCCUGGGAUCGAGCCUCGCAGGGAGCCUGCUUCUCCCUCUGCCUGUGUCUGCCUCUGUGUGUGUGUCUCAUGAAUGAAUGAAUAAAUAAAAUAGUUUGUUAAAGCUGUUGUUUACAUAUUUAAAUCUUUAACUCUUCAUCUGUUAAGUUAUAAUUUAUUUUUAACUGUUUAAGAUUUAUUCAAUAAUAUCUGCUGAAAUCCUGAUCAGAUCAAGAGUAUUCUGAAUUCUGCUUCUUAGAUAUAUAGAUAUAGAUAUAUAAGGCUGUAUUAUUCGUAAAAUGUGGCACAUAAUACACACUGGUAAAUUAAUUUACCCUUUGUAAUAAAAGUAAAAAGGGAGAAAUACAGGUACCUAUUCACUAUACAUAUUACGUUUUUUUAUAAUAAAUGUUAAACUGAAUAUCUUUAGUCUUCAUUCAGGCAUAGAAAAAUGUAAGUUAAAGUGCUACCGAUUUUCUAAAAGCUAGACCUAUUAUUAUUUUUUAUUUUUUAUUGGAGUUCAAUUUGCCAACAUAUAGCAUAACACCCAGUGCUCAUCCCAUCAAGUGCCCCCCUCAGUGCUCAUCACCCAGUCAUUAUGGUCUCUCAUUCAUUUGGGGAAUAUAGACCUAUUAUUAUUGCCUUUAAAAUUGUGGCACAAAACCUAGAAACCACAUAAAAAAUUCAAAUACUGCUGUAGUAAAAAUAGAACCCACAAAAAUGAAAGUCCAAGUGAAAACUUGGGAAAAAAAAUGGAACAUGUGACAUGUAAUUACCAAGUUUUCCAAACAUACAUAUCAAUAUAAUCUUUAUUUUUAAAUGAGAAAAAUAUUCAAACAGGGAAGAACAACACAGCUUUAAAACAUCAUGUUUCAUACUCUGUAUGUUACAAUUCUGUUUGGCUGUUCUUGAUUAUGUAUAAUUUAAGCCUCUCAGAAUUGUUUAAUUCCUCCCUCUCUAUACUAAUAUAAUUCCUAUAUUUUAUAUAGUUUUCUGAAAAUUAAGGAAAAAGUUUCCUCUUUUCCCUCCCAAAGCUGCAGAAAAGACUAUUCUACAUCAUAAAAUAUGUCCUGACAACAUGGUAUAUUAAGAACAUCCCCAAAAUGUCUAUUGUACUCUCUAGUUCAUUAUGUAGAUAUGUAUGAAAAUGUAUAAUCCUGUUCUGUUACCAAUCAUUAUACAGAACUUGGAUGUUUUAUCUGAGAACCAUUUAUAGAUAGAAUUCAGAGAAUGACGUGAGUAGUGUAACGUAAAGGAAAUUUCCAAAAGUUUGCAACUCCACUUUAUUGCUUUCCAUCAAUUGUUGAUCCCAGUAAUCAUAUUUAUCUGUUUCCUUAAAGGUGUAAGAAAGAAAUAAAAGCUCUAAAAAAAAAAAAAAAAAAAAAAAAAAAAA